This 955-nucleotide long non-coding RNA is filed under the name Hordeum vulgare. RNAcentral describes it as "long non-coding RNA (HVUL_LNC008447)". The record is from RNAcentral. Lineage: Eukaryota; Viridiplantae; Streptophyta; Magnoliopsida; Poales; Poaceae.
AUCGAAGUGAUAACACAGUCUGUUUGCAUGUGUUUUAGAUUACAACCCCCACCACGUGUUCGAUAGAAACACAAUCUGUUUGCAACGGAGUUCCCUAAGGAUUUCACAUCAACGGCAGCUCCAAUGACCUUUUUUACUCCAUUCCAGAGAGGUCUGACACGUCUCUUCCUUUUAUUUUACAGCAGGCCUGAUAUGUCAACUCAGUGUCCCUCCUCUUGUGUCGCUCGAUGGAAUCAACCUACAACAUACAGUGUCAGACUAGGUGUCCUGUCUCAAGCGCUUAGCAAGUUAUGACCUGCUAAUCCAUAUUCGGUACAGUGCAUGGUAUAGAUCUCUAGGAGGACAUACGGUAGUGAUAAGAGGGUGUCUGGACGACACCCGGGUUCUAAAAAGCCACUCUCAUAAAUGAAAAGGUGCUAUAACACCCGUGUGUCCCAGCACCCUCUAAUCUGAGCUGUACAGCGAUGGUAAGAUUCAUGUUGUUUGAUGCUGAGCUGCAAACCAUUUACAGUUUGCUAAGUAAGCAGGCUUUGUUAAGUAGGCAAACAGCGGCCGCAGGUGUAACAUGCAGAGCUAGAAUUGAUAGGAGGUUACGUGGGUCCCGAUCGAAGUGACAACAUAGUCUGUUUGCAUGUGUUUAGAUUACCACCCCCACCACUUGUUCGAUAACAACACAGUCUGUUUGCAACGGAGGUCCCUAAGGUUUCACAUCAACGGCAUCUCCAAUGACCUUUCUACUCCAUUUCAGAGAUGUCCGACACGUUUCUUCCUUUUCUUUUACAGCAGGCCUGAUAUGUCAAACUCAGUGUCCCUCCUCUUGUGUUGCUCGAUGGAAUCAACCUACAACAUACAGUGUCAGACUAGGUGUCCUGUCUCAAGCGCUUAGCAAGUUAUGACCUGCUAAUCCAUAUUCGGUACAGUGCAUGGUAUAGAUCUCUAGGAGGACAUACGGUAG